Molecule: ribosomal RNA, 367 nt
Filed under: uncultured organism
Description: bacterial SSU rRNA
Rfam family: Bacterial small subunit ribosomal RNA
Source: RNAcentral
CGGAGGGUGCAAGCGUUAUCCGGAUUCACUGGGUUUAAAGGGUGCGUAGGUGGCUUUGUAAGUCAGUGGUGAAAUCUCGGAGCUUAACUCCGAAACUGCCAUUGAUACUGCUUAGCUUGAAUCAAGUAGAGGUGGAUGGAAUAUUACAUGUAGCGGUGAAAUGCUUAGAUAUGUAAUAGAACACCGAUUGCAAAGGCAGUUCACUAUGCUUGUAUUGACACUGAGGCACGAAAGCGUGGGGAUCAAACAGGAUUAGAUACCCUGGUAGUCACGCCCUAAACGAUGUAAACUCGACAUCAGCGAUACACAGUUGGUGUCCAAGGGAAACCGUUAAGUUUACCACCUGGGAAGUACGACCGCAAGGUUG